AUGAUGAAACACAUGAAAAAGAUAUAUGUGUACAACCUGGGACUCAAUCCAGACUUGCUCAUAUCAUCCCAGGUCCAGCUCCUGGCUUAUCAGGAAUGUUCCCAAGCAAAUAUUCUCUGCACCUGGCCCAAGGUUGCCCUGUGGAUUGAUCUCUAUGGUAGGGUUGACAGAGAAAAUACAGCAUGCCCAGCUAAUUUUAAUUUCAGAGCAGUUACCUACAGAGUCCAUUGUUCACCUGUUUAUCCUGGAUUUAGAACUAUCUAUGUUUGCUGAUGUCUGAGAGGCUAUGGCUUACUCCAUUUAUACCCAGAUGAAGAAACUGAGCCUCAGGAACUGAACUGCAGAAUGUCCUGCUCUCAACCACUGAACUAUCAUGCUAUGUUUCAUUUUUAAUGUAUUUCAUUAUUUCACAAAUUCAAGUUUAUCACGGUUUAAAACUUAUCUCCUGAACAUGCCAACUGUAUUUACAAAAAGCCCUACUAGGCACACCUAGUACACAAAAUAAAUGUUUUUAUAAAUGCAACAUUACAAGGAACUUUUCUUUUGUGCUCAUUUUUACCAUGUAUCUCACAGAAAUAUUAGAUUCAUGAAUAGAAAAGUUUCUAUUUUCUGUUAAAGUAGUGAUAGACUGUAUCACUAAAAUAGUGAUAGACUGUAAACUAUUUAGAAGGGAGAAUAAUUAUGGCUGAUAGAAGCCCCAGAUUCAUGGGAAUUGAUCUGGAGUUAAAACAGCCAAGUAAACAUCCAUUAGAAUGUGCUGGAUCUUACUGCAGGACAAAAACGUUUCAUCUUGGGUCCUAACUUUCCCAUUUAUGUUCAGGUAUAGGGAAACAUUAGGAAGUGGGGAAAUUGAGAAAUACUUAAAAGAAAAACAACUAACAACUAAAGUCCUAUUUGGAUCAGUGCUCUGAGAAUCUGAGAUAGGAUUAUGACCCCACUACUGUGUCUUCUAAUGACAGCUCUUUCUAUUCUGCAUUUAUCAGAUGUUAAUUAUUCAUACUGCAUGAUUGAUGAUUUUGGAGUCAGAGAUUCACCUGCAAUAUUUGGAAUACUGGUGGAGGCCUACAUCAACACAGAAUUUAUAAAGCAGCUGGUGCUAGUCAAAGCUAAUGAUGGAAUUUCAGUUUAAUAAAAAGACCCCCAACUGAGCACACCAUCUUGAAAAAAGUAUACUUAUCGAACGGCUUUCAAUCAGUUCAAGAGAGACACCUUAAUUGGGAAGAGGAAAAUUUGCAGAGCAGUUUGUCAUUGUGCCAAUUCUAGAUCAAUAACUGCAUGUCUGCUCUUUGGGAGACAUAGCUUUUGCUUUAUAUUGAGUAACCACAUUGACUUCCUCUCCACUUGGGUACACUCUGUUUCAUUUGAUAAUGUUAAAGGAUAUCUUCUUUUAAUUCACCUCUGUGUCUUCAUAAUAAACAUGAGCAAAUGUAGACUUGUGAUUAUGAAGGUCAACAUUUUAAAUUUUUAAAAUAAAUUUUAUAUUUUUGCCACAAGAAGGCAAUGCUUA
Molecule: long non-coding RNA, 1507 nt
Filed under: Lynx canadensis (Canada lynx)
Lineage: Eukaryota; Metazoa; Chordata; Mammalia; Carnivora; Felidae
Description: lncRNA (ENSLCNG00005006655.1)
Source: RNAcentral